UGUCAUGGCGGCUGUGCGUCGGAGACCUUCGGGUCUGCCGGUGUGUGCGAGUAAAAGGCCGGUAGCUGCCACCCUU
Molecule: unclassified non-coding RNA, 76 nt
Filed under: Pseudomonas cichorii
Lineage: Bacteria; Pseudomonadati; Pseudomonadota; Gammaproteobacteria; Pseudomonadales; Pseudomonadaceae
Source: RNAcentral